Molecule: ribosomal RNA, 435 nt
Filed under: Capnocytophaga granulosa
Lineage: Bacteria; Pseudomonadati; Bacteroidota; Flavobacteriia; Flavobacteriales; Flavobacteriaceae
Description: bacterial SSU rRNA
Rfam family: Bacterial small subunit ribosomal RNA
Source: RNAcentral
GAUGACGCUAGCGGCAGGCCUAACACAUCAAGUCGAGGGAGAAGCCCUUCGGGGCAGAAACCGGCGCACGGGUGCGUAACGCGUAUGCAACCUACCUUUCACAGGGGGAUAGCCCGAAGAAAUUUGGAUUAAUACCCCAUAAUAUUAUUGGAUGGCAUCAUUUGAUAAUUAAAAUUACGAUGGUGAAAGAUGGGCAUGCGUCCUAUUAGCUAGUUGGAGUGGUAACGGCACCCCAAGGCUACGAUAGGUAGGGGUCCUGAGAGGGAGAUCCCCCACACUGGUACUGAGACAGGGACCAGACUCCUACGGGAGGCAGCAGUGAGGAAUAUUGGUCAAUGGUCGGAAGACUGAACCAGCCAUGCCGCGUGCAGGAAGAAUGCCUUAUGGGUUGUAAACUGCUUUUAUAUGGGAAGAAUAAGGCGUACGUGUACGCUG